Molecule: ribosomal RNA, 492 nt
Filed under: uncultured bacterium
Lineage: Bacteria
Description: partial 16S ribosomal RNA
Rfam family: Bacterial small subunit ribosomal RNA
Source: RNAcentral
AGUGAACGCUGGCGGUAGGCCUAACACAUGCAAGUCGAACGGCAGCACAGUAAGAGCUUGCUCUUACGGGUGGCGAGUGGCGGACGGGUGAGGAAUACAUCGGAAUCUACUUUUUCGUGGGGGAUAACGUAGGGAAACUUACGCUAAUACCGCAUACGACCUACGGGUGAAAGCAGGGGAUCUUCGGACCUUGCGCGAUUGAAUGAGCCGAUGUCGGAUUAGCUAGUUGGCGGGGUAAAGGCCCACCAAGGCGACGAUCCGUAGCUGGUCUGCGAGGAUGAUCAGCGACACUGGGACUGAGACACGGUCCAGACUCCUACGGGAGGCAGCAGUGGGGAAUAUUGGACAAUGGGCGCAAGCCUGAUCCAGCCAUACCGCGUGGGUGAAGAAGGCCUUCGGGUUUUAAAGCCCUUUUGUUGGGAAAGAAAAGCAGCAGGUUAAUACCCCGCUGUUCUGACGGUACCCAAAGAAUAAGCACCGGCUAACUUCGUG